GGGUGCGAUCAUACCAGCACUAAUGCACCGGAUCCCAUCAGAACUCCGAAGUUAGGCGUGCUUGGGCGAGAGUAGUACUAGGAUGGGUGACCCCCUGGGAAGUCCUCGUGUUGCACCCC
Erythranthe guttata (spotted monkey flower) is the source of this 119-nucleotide non-coding RNA. The record is from Rfam. NCBI's taxonomy places the organism in Eukaryota, Viridiplantae, Streptophyta, Magnoliopsida, Lamiales, Phrymaceae.